This 932-nucleotide ribosomal RNA is filed under the name uncultured bacterium. RNAcentral's name for it is "bacterial SSU rRNA". It matches the Rfam family "Bacterial small subunit ribosomal RNA", at positions 54 to 1001 of the family's 1533-position model. The record is from RNAcentral.
CAUGCAAGUCGAGCGAUGAACACCUUCGGGUGUGAAUUAGCGGCGAGCGGGUGAGGAACACGUGAAGAAUCUGCCUUCAACUCUGGGAUAACUCCGGGAAACCGGGGCUAAUACCGGAUAUGAGCCUUGAUCGCAUGAUCGGGGCUGGAAAGUUUUUCGGUUGAAGAUGACUUCGCGGCCUAUCAGCUUGUUGGUGAGGUAAUGGCUCACCAAGGCGACGACGGGUAGCCGGCCUGAGAGGGCGACUGGCCACACUGGGACUGAGACACGGCCCAGACUCCUACGGGAGGCAGCAGUGGGGAAUAUUGGGCAAUGGAGGAAACUCUGACCCAGCGACGCCGCGUGAGGGAUGAAGGCCUUCGGGUUGUAAACCUCUUUCAGUAGGGAAGAAGCGAAAGUGACGGUACCUACAGAAGAAGCACCGGCUAACUAUGUGCCAGCAGCCGCGGUAAUACAUAGGGUGCAAGCGUUGUCCGGAAUUAUUGGGCGUAAAGAGCUCGUAGGUGGUUCGAUACGUCGGAUGUGAAAAUCAGGGGCUCAACCCCUGACCUGCAUCCGAUACGGUCGAGCUAGAGUUUGGUAGGGGAGACUGGAAUUCCUGGUGUAGCGGUGGAAUGCGCAGAUAUCAGGAGGAACACCGAUGGCGAAGGCAGGUCUCUGGGCCAAUACUGACACUGAGGAGCGAAAGCGUGGGGAGCGAACAGGAUUAGAUACCCUGGUAGUCCACGCCGUAAACGGUGGGCGCUAGUUGUGCGAACCUUCCACGGUUUGUGCGACGCAGCUAACGCAUUAAGCGCCCCGCCUGGGGAGUACGAUCGCAAGAUUAAAACUCAAAGGAAUUGACGGGGCCCCGCACAAGCAGCGGAGCAUGCGGCUUAAUUCGACGCAACGCGAAGAACCUUACCAAGGCUUGACAUAUACAGGAAUAUGGC